This is a long non-coding RNA of Rhinichthys klamathensis goyatoka, 1005 nucleotides long. RefSeq lists it as uncharacterized. Lineage: Eukaryota; Metazoa; Chordata; Actinopteri; Cypriniformes; Leuciscidae. The transcript is spliced from 2 exons. The record is from RefSeq and is a predicted model, not a curated record.
AGACAUUUUCACUUUAUUGUGAAGCCCAGCAGUGAGUGAUUUAUUUGAUUCUAUAUCUCUACAUUGUCAUUAUAUGAUGCAAUAUGUUUUUAAAAUACAGCAAAUUAAGUUACUCUCAAAAAAAAGAAAAAAAGGCUCAAUACAGAAUACUCCACAGAACAUUAUACCAAGUUAGAGAGACCACUAAAAUGUUGAAGAUCAGACUCGUUUUUAAAGGACGUUCUGAUUGGUCAUAUGCGUACAUGAUUGUUUUCUAUGCGUUUUCGUGUACAUUUCAACUCUAAAGUCAAAUACAGCCCAUUAAACAUGGACAUCACACAAAAAUACAUUGCACAUUUUUGUAAGACCUAACAGAUUUAACAGACUGUCUACGUGAAAAAGAGUGAACAACUGACACUUUCCACCAGCAUUUCUAAUUAAAGUCCAAUGAAGUUCUGGUGAAAGUCCAGUAAUGCAGUAACGAUGCCGAUUGCAACACACUGACGGAAGAACUUCCAUUUAAGGAUUAUUUAUGAAUCUCGAAAGUCAUUCGAGAGAGGUUUCUGUAAAUACCGGCUAAGCACAGUGGUUCACACAUCACAAGGAGUCCAAAGAAAUAUCAGAAAGCAUCAGUGUCAAGCAUCAGAUCACACUGAGCAAGGCAUUGACAUUUGCUCUGAUAAUUAUCGACGAAUAUUACAAUAGCGAAAACUCUGCUCCUCAAGUAAAAACUAAGCAACAUGUGCACUUGUUCUGAAUUCAGAUGUAUUGAUUCAAAUAUUUACUUCUACACGACAUGAAAGCCCUCGGAAGGGAAGUGAACAUCAAUCGUAGGGCUUCAUACACAGUCACGAUACUUACAAAGUCUCAGCUUCUUUAAGUUUUCAAUAGGGUGAAUGAGAUUACACAGCAAUUAUACAGCAUUUUGCUUCACAUAUUUGACAGAGGUGGGUUUGUCAUGCAAAUGGGCUGCGGCAACACUGAAAGAAGCUGAUUGGCCGCUUGAACGGCGGUUCCAAUCAGAAA